UACGUAGGGGGCAAGCGUUGUCCGGAAUCAUUGGGCGUAAAGAGCGUGUAGGCGGCCAGAAAAGUCCGCUGUGAAAACUCGAGGCUCAACUUCGAGCUGUCGGUGGAAACUUUCUGGCUAGAGUCCGGAAGAGGAGAAUGGAAUUCCUGGUGUAGCGGUGAAAUGCGCAGAUAUCAAGCGGAACACCGGUGGCGAAGGCGGCCUUCUGGACAGUGACUGACGCUGAGACGCGAAAGCGUGGGGAGCAAACAGG
RNAcentral lists this ribosomal RNA (253 nucleotides) under uncultured bacterium. RNAcentral describes it as "partial 16S ribosomal RNA". It matches the Rfam family "Bacterial small subunit ribosomal RNA", at positions 524 to 776 of the family's 1533-position model. The record is from RNAcentral.